CAUUAUAUGCAACAGCAGUAUUUGCACUGUAAACAUUUUUUAUUUAUGCACAGUAUAUGCAACAGCAGUAUUUGCACUGUAAACCUGUUUUAUUUAUAUGAAGUGUGGGUGAACUUAAACUGUAUGGCUAUGCUGUGGUUCCUGUAGGCUUUGCGUGUGUGUGUGGGGGGGGGAGGGGGGGGGCACCUUCAUGUCCAUUUUGCUUGGGGCCCCCAAAUUCCUUCAAACGGUC
This is a non-coding RNA of Pelobates cultripes (western spadefoot toad), 232 nucleotides long. NCBI's taxonomy places the organism in Eukaryota, Metazoa, Chordata, Amphibia, Anura, Pelobatidae. The record is from the annotation of a GenBank genome assembly.